RNAcentral lists this ribosomal RNA (400 nucleotides) under uncultured bacterium. RNAcentral describes it as "bacterial SSU rRNA". It matches the Rfam family "Bacterial small subunit ribosomal RNA", at positions 356 to 773 of the family's 1533-position model. The record is from RNAcentral.
GGGGGAUAUUGCACAAUGGAGGAAACUCUGAUGCAGCAAUGCCGCGUGAGGGAAGACGGUCUUCGGAUUGUAAACCUCUGUCCUUGGUGAAGAUAAUGACGGUAGCCAAGGAGGAAGCUCCGGCUAACUACGUGCCAGCAGCCGCGGUAAUACGUAGGGAGCAAGCGUUGUCCGGAUUUACUGGGUGUAAAGGGUGCGUAGGCGGCUCUUUAAGUCGGGCGUGAAAGCUGUGGGCUUAACCCACAAAUUGCGUUCGAAACUGGAGGGCUUGAGUGAAGUAGAGGUAGGCGGAAUUCCCGGUGUAGCGGUGAAAUGCGUAGAGAUCGGGAGGAACACCAGUGGCGAAGGCGGCCUACUGGGCUUUAACUGACGCUGAGGCACGAAAGCAUGGGUAGCAAAC